AACCUGCCCAUCAGAAGGGGAUAACACUUGGAAACAGGUGCUAAUACCGUAUAACAAUCGAAACCGCAUGGUUUUGAUUUGAAAGGCGCUUUCGGGUGUCGCUGAUGGAUGGACCCGCGGUGCAUUAGCUAGUUGGUGAGGUAACGGCUCACCAAGGCCACGAUGCAUAGCCGACCUGAGAGGGUGAUCGGCCACAUUGGGACUGAGACACGGCCCAAACUCCUACGGGAGGCAGCAGUAGGGAAUCUUCGGCAAUGGACGAAAGUCUGACCGAGCAACGCCGCGUGAGUGAAGAAGGUUUUCGGAUCGUAAAACUCUGUUGUUAGAGAAGAACAAGGAUGAGAGUAACUGUUCAUCCCUUGACGGUAUCUAACCAGAAAGCCACGGCUAACUACGUGCCAGCAGCCGCGGUAAUACGUAGGUGGCAAGCGUUGUCCGGAUUUAUUGGGCGUAAAGCGAGCGCAGGCGGUUUCUUAAGUCUGAUGUGAAAGCCCCCGGCUCAACCGGGGAGGGUCAUUGGAAACUGGGAGACUUGAGUGCAGAAGAGGAGAGUGGAAUUCCAUGUGUAGCGGUGAAAUGCGUAGAUAUAUGGAGGAACACCAGUGGCGAAGGCGGCUCUCUGGUCUGUAACUGACGCUGAGGCUCG
This 646-nucleotide ribosomal RNA is filed under the name Enterococcus sp. RNAcentral describes it as "bacterial SSU rRNA". It matches the Rfam family "Bacterial small subunit ribosomal RNA", at positions 123 to 755 of the family's 1533-position model. Lineage: Bacteria; Bacillati; Bacillota; Bacilli; Lactobacillales; Enterococcaceae. The record is from RNAcentral.